Long non-coding RNA from Bolinopsis microptera, 2055 nucleotides. RefSeq lists it as uncharacterized. NCBI's taxonomy places the organism in Eukaryota, Metazoa, Ctenophora, Tentaculata, Lobata, Bolinopsidae. The transcript has 4 exons. The record is from RefSeq and is a predicted model, not a curated record.
CUUGUGCCAAAUCCGUUAAAGUGCUUGAUUUCUGAAACUUAGCAUUAUGACCAUUUAAUCUAAUGUCCUAUCGUAUGGAUUCCAGCCUGCCAUGCAGGUUUCCCUUAAUCUACUGCUAUUUACAUUUCUCACAAGCACGCAACCUGAAUUUCUUCCAUAGACCUCUUUUGAAGAUUUCUUGCCUGAAGGAGCCCCCCACCAAAAAUGCUCCCCCUGUUCGCGCCUCUCCCCUUUUGGCCCCCUUCCCUAAAAUUGAACAAAUUAGGGGAUUUUAGAGGAUAUGCCUGUAAAAUCUCCAAAAAAGUGUGUUUCAAUGGGGCCCUUCGUUAUAUACGCCACUGCAAUUAAUUAUUCAAAUCUAUUCAAUUUAGGUGAAUGAAUGAAUCUACUGGUUAGUGGUGAAGACACAGUUUUAACACUUUAUUUGGAGUGAUCCAAUCUAAGCCAGGCAAGUGAGGGAAAUGAUUUUAUUUUAAACCUGCUACACCAAGUUGAUACUUUCGUGCAAGCAGCUAGGCUCCGAUGGUUUGGCCAUGUGGUGAGGAUGCCAGAAGAAAUAAUACCUGACUAUCUUCUGCACUGGAUCCCAAAGCAUGGCAAAAGGUCAAGAGGUAGACCUCGGAAAAACUGGCUGUCAUGUGUCCGGGAGGAUGCAACAAUCUUCACAGUUGUCGAUAACAUCACAAUAGAAGAUGCAGAACAACAAGCAACAAACAGGGUACAUUGGAGCGGCCUAAUACAUCGGUGAAAGGAGUGACUGUGUGGUGCAGGCCACUCCAACGACUAGGAGGAGACCUUUUCAAGUACAAAUGAGGGUAAUGAUGAAUUCAAUAAUUUCAAAAGCGACGGAGGGAUGGAUUCCUCAUCAACUCAGAAUAGAAAUAGAGAGGAAGAGAUUGAAGUGGUGACUGGACAAUUCAGUAAUACAAAUCUGUACAACAUCUUAACAAUUCUAGUUUGAUAGCCCUUAUACAACUCCCUCCGACACACACCAUUUGGGAUUUAAUUCUGCCACAAAAGAAAGUCAUGAACCGAUGAGCUGGUUCACUACCCCUCAGCCCUCUUCAACUGUCGAAGAAAUCUUUCAUCUCGCUGCACGCAACAAUCAACAUAGAAGAACUUGUUUUAAUUCUAUGCGCUAAUAUUUUGCAGAAUAGGUCUAAAAUACUGUAGGAGAGACGGAACUAUUCCAGUAAUUUUCUUGAUCAGCUUUGAAUAGUAUUUCAACAACAUUGGCAAAGUCCAGAUUGCUUGGUCAAAUUUCAAAAUUCUACUGGCUCUACUUGAUGGAAGGCGCGAAUGUAAUGUUCAUAAAUUGUAAGAAAAGCAAGCAAUGUCAGUUAAGAGUUAACUUUUUAUAUCAUGCAUAUGCAUGUACUGUAAGCAAUUCAUUUCAUGCAUAAUAAUGACCCAACGGCAGUCUUUUUUAUUGCACUGGCCAGCAACAGAAGAGAAAACGCUAUAAUGGAUGAAAUCUUGGUUUGCGUAUCUGAAAUGACUCCAGUUGCGUGCGUUUCUAUUAUGAACACAAGACUACGGUGUUUAUCCGUCUAUAUCUCCUAAUCUGCUCAUGGGACACUUCUCAAAUUUUGUAUGCUAUUAGUUCAAAAGAUUUCUGACAAAUCUGUACAAUUACCAAUGCUUUCCCAUGAGCACUUUUCUCGCAAUAGUCUGUUGAAAAUCGCAAAAUUGAGGCCAAUGACGUGUCGGUAGUAAUUUGAAUGAUGGAGAAUUGUAAUUGUGUUGGUGUUUUUAUCGAACUACUGAAUUUAUUUGUUUAUCUCAAUAAGAUAUUAUAUUAAUCUUGUACUGAUAAACUAUAUGGUUAAAGCAAAACAUUCAUCCGAAUGUGGGUUCGAGCCUGACCAGGUGUUGAAAUCUUCGAAAUCGAAGAUUUCAACUCCUGGUCAGGCUCGAACCCACAUAUUAUGGUUCCUCCUUGCUUCCAUUUAUUGAGAAUCAGUCCUCUGCUCUCAUGAUCAAGCCAUUGUGGUAACUGAUCAUUUUGAUACUAUGUCUUAUUAUAUUGUGUUAGAACACACUGAUUCUUUCAAA